Molecule: long non-coding RNA, 6112 nt
Organism: Zingiber officinale
Lineage: Eukaryota; Viridiplantae; Streptophyta; Magnoliopsida; Zingiberales; Zingiberaceae
Exons: 2
Source: RefSeq, a predicted model, not a curated record
GAAGAUGUAAGUGUAGGGACUUGUGCUAUAGAGCCAAGCACCCAAGAAUCACUACAUGAAGUUGUACACUCACUAGAACUGGAGUCUGAGCAUUUAAUUAAUGAGAAAGAGGUAACAAUCACCAUUCCAGGUACCUAUCAACAUGACAAGGACACAAUAGAUGUUUGAAAUAGGUACUAAAUCUGAACCGUCUACGACCUCCGGAAAAAGUUUUCAAGGGAAAAAGGAUGAAUAGAAAGAAUUUAAGUGGAACCAUGAUUACUCCACUUACGGGGUGGCUUCUUUUGUUAGAUCUUCUUCAACCACCGGGAAUUAAAGGGGAGUUGGUUCCAAUUUAGCUUUCUUUUGCAUUUUAAUUCAUGCUUUGUGUCUAAUAAAUUCUUUAUACGUAUCUUUAGUUUCAUACUUUGCAUUUUGCAUUUUACUUUCAUACUUUACAUUUAGUUGGUAUACAUAUUACAUAGCAUUUCAUUUGAAUAAAAGUCUCCAUGAAUUGUUUAGUAAUAUUUUUAAGAUGGUAAAAGUUUCUUUAAUUUGAUCAUCAAUUUUAGGUCAUAUGACAUGAUUGAAUGCUCUACUUACAUGAUUUUGGUUAAAAUGGUAGUGGAUUCCAAUUUGAUUAAUUGAGCUUGAUUGCAUAAGUAUUACCUAUAGAGGACCACUUCAAGCGUAUAUUCUAUUAUUUUCUUUAUGUGACAUGCACUCAUAGCAAUUGAAACUCUAGAACUUGCUUUGCUUCUUUUCAAAGUCAUAAUAGCAUAUGUGUACAUGGAGAUGAAGGAUAUUUGUCAUUCUUGUUCCAUCAUAAAUUCUAAUUUCUUUUCCCACAAUUUUCUUAAACAUUUCCCUCUAGCAUUUUAACCUUUGAUUACCUUUUCUUUGCUCUAUUUCAUUGAGUGUUUUGGUUGACUAUCUUGAUGAGUUAGAUUGUUCGAUGAUGGACAAAGUUUUAAGAUUGGGGGAAGUGUAUUCCGUUGCAAUCUUGAGGACUGAAUUUAAGGGCUAGAAUUGAAUAGAAGUAAACUAUAUUUAAGUUGAUGGUGGAUGUAUUCUAGAAACAGGCUGUGAGCACUGAAUAGAAUCAAGCUGCAAUCCUUUGAUCAAGCUUAACUCUUCAUGGUUCAAAGUAAAAUUCUUUGUGUUUACAAGUUCAGAAAGCAAAGCUCUGAAAUUGGAAGCUGGUAUUGGAUUCUAAAUUCUAGAAAAUGGGACAUUCAUAUGGAUUCAUAGUUUAUCAAAGUGAUGAAUUUCGAAAUAAAUUCUAAGAUAAAAGCUGUUGGUUGAGAAUCUGAAUUUAGUUGCUUGAGUUUCAAAAGAUUGAAAACCUGUUUCUGAAUUUAGUUGCUUGAGUUUUAAAAGAUUGAAAACCUGUUUUUUCUGUCUUCAGAUUUUUGGAGAAGCAAAAUUGGCACACUACAUUUUUAAUUGGAAGUUGUUAUUUUCAGUUUUUGACAAGAAAUUUGAAUUUCUGAGAUGUUGAAUGAAGGACUGCAUUUGACAGUUACAAUUUCAAUUGAUUAGGAUAAUGUAUUAACUGGAUAGUGUAGAGUGUAGAAUUUCGAUGAGGAUACUAAGGAUGCAGGAAGGGCAAACCAGCACAUUGCUGUUAGUAGUAGUUGAAAUAGAUAAUUAUGCAUCAACUUAGUAGAGCUAACUUGUUAAUUAGUUGAGGAAGCAUUUGAAGGCAUUGUGCUAUUGGAAACAAUUUUGAUGACACUUUUACUUACCUGUUGAAGUCUCAAUAUGUUCAGGAAUCUGACUCUGAAACUGCAGUAACAAGUCUGGACCAAAAUUCAGAAAUAUUUCUACAGCUAGAAACAGUAGGAUACUGGACAUGAAUGAAUUCAAAUCUGAGAAAGGAUAAGGCUAAUCUUGUUAAACUUUGAUUCAAAAGUUUAAUAGAAAUGGAAGUGAAAAGUAAAUUGAAGCAGAACAAAUGAGGAAACUGAAAUCUGAUUAAUUUCAGAGAACAGAAUCCAGUAGAAAUAUCAAGGCUGUAUCAACUGAGCAUUGUUAAUCUCGAAAUUCAGUGAAGAACCAAUUGAGAAUGCAGUGGUGUUAUAAACAGAUGUAUACAUGUAUACUAUACUUUCUGAGAUGCUGAAAGGAACAAGAAUUUAGAAAACUGAAGAGUGCUGAAGUGGAUUGGAAAAUGGCAGAAAUGCUGUUUGAAAGUAGCUAGAAGCAAAUAGGAGUAGAUGGUAACAAAUGUUGAAUUGAGGUGACUGUAACUGGGAAUUAUUGGAAAUGAAGAAGCUUGAAUCUUAAGGGAAGAUCAGUAGCAACAUUGAAAAAAAAAUAUGCAGAAAUUGAAGAUUUGCAUAAUCUGGAAGUUGAAGCUGAGCAGCAGGAACAGAAAUGAACAAAGUACAGAGUUCUGUAGAAUAUAGAAUGUAGCAGUUUUUGUGCCAAAUUGGAUUGAAUUGUGAAGAGCUAGAGUUGAUGGAACAAAAGAAUGAUGAGUAGCAUUCCUCUUCAGAAUCAGUUGAAGGUUGAAGUUGUGCUGAUUGAUGCUGAAUUCUGUGAGCAAGGCUACUGUUGGUGUAGUGAAUCUUGAUUGGGUUUGUCACUAAUGCAAUAGAGUUGCACAUCUCUAGCUUAGUGGUAUGGAGUGUUCACUACAAAAGUAAGAUAAGAAAGGAGUUUAAUACAAUAGCUAAUUAAUGCUGGAAAUUGAUUUGUGCUAACUGAUGAUGCUUCGAAUUAAAGUUUCGAUCAUUCCAAAGUUAAAUGAAAUCUUGAGCAAGCUUUUGAUACAAAUUUCUGAUCAGAAAAAAAUUGCUAUCAUUUAAUUUUCAUUUGAUGUUCUUUUCCGAGCUUACCAUGGAUCAAAAUAUACAACUCAAAUGAAGUGGUUUUCUGAAACUACUCAGUUUUACAAAAAAAAAAAAUCAGUAAAGUAGCUUGUUAGGAAGGUGGCAUUGGAGUUGUUUUCUUGUUAAUAUAAUCAGAAAAUUAUAUUGAGAUGCAGUGAGUGCAGAACACCAGAUUGUUGCUUUGGGAGCUAAACUGAGUUGUUCUUAAUCUAUUCAAUAUGAGGGGAAAAUUAAGCUAUUACAGGUAUGAUGUGUUUUCUGUGAAGUUUGCAGAAUGAAAUCAGGGGGUUGCUGGAAUUGGAAAUGCAGCUGCUGUGCAGGAAUGGAAAGCUAUGAAAAAACACUAAAUUUAUGCUUUGUGAUUUCUGAAAUUUCAUUGAAUUGGAAAGAAGCUGAAUUCUGGGGAAUGUGUAGCCGAAAUGGGACAUAACAAGUAAAAGAAAAAUGUUGAAUUUUGAAACGUAUCAAGUUGUUGCAGAUUUUUAAUCAGAAUCAAGCUUAAGAAGAUAUAUUUGGCUUUAUUUGCUAUUUGCUGUACUUCCUCUACAAGGUUACUGAACUUUCAGAAACUGAAUCAAACCCAAGGAUUUGAAAUAUGUUGCUACUGAAAAAGUUUAAUUACUGUUUCUCAGCAGUGCCUGAUCCGUGUGCCAACUGAAAUUUUCAGAUUACCAGAAUUUGAAUUGUUGAAAUAGAAACAUAAUGUUCAAGCUGUAGAAUGUUGAAAUGGAAAUCUGGAAAACUGAAUGUUUGGAAGGCUGCUGAUUGAAAUAAACGAAAUUUAGAUUGAAGCAAUAAUUCAUAGAUACCAGCAUGGUGCUGAAAUUGCAAAAUUUAUAGGGCUGAAUUUAUGGGUCUGAGAGGCUUGGCUGGUUAAAGAACAACAGUUUUGAAGUAGAGAAAGUUAAGAAUAGUGUUUAUAUCAGCAACUAGGAGGAGAAGCAUAGUGUUCAUCAUCAGAAAUGCAGGAUAGGAAUUAAGAUUGUUGUGCAGAUAUGCAGAAGUUAAAAAAUUUUUGAAAAAAAUGAGCAGAAAUGCAUGUAAGUUAAUGUGCAGGAAUAUACUAGAUGUAUGUAAUGAGCUUUUCGAUUGGAAGGAAUUGAAGGGCAGGCUAAUUGUGAUUGAAUGCUAUGAAGAUAGUCUUUUGGAGGUUAAAGCUUUAAUGUUUGGCCGGAAUUUCCAAGUAGAUCAGAAAAGAAGAAAAUGCAGAAAUUUCUGCAAAUGAAGCAUUUCUGUGCCAUUUUAGAAAUAAGUUAUAACAUGGUAGAGUUUCUAAAAUCUAAAAAUUUUUGGAGGAUGAAUUGAUAAGGUUUUUAAGAGGCUAGAUAGAAAAGGAAUUGAGAUGUUUGGCGGCUAAAUGAUGUAUAGUUGACACAAAAUCAGGAAGCUAUACAGGGGAUUCAGGGUUUACACUAACUGUGCUACAUGGUGGAACUUUUGGAUCACUGUGAAGUUAUAAACUAGGUGUUGUUUGAGUAUGGUUAGAUGAUAAACUCGUUUCUCUAUAGCUGACAUGGUUUUUAGACAGUUCAGCAGAUACAACACAGAAACACAGACUGAAAACUGGAAACUACAGAUCUGUUCUGAAGCUAUUUUCUGAUUACUGCAAUUGCAGUUAGCAAGAAUUCAAUUUCAAGCUGAAUUUUCUUUUCUGCUAUCAUUAAUUCUUGAAGAGUAUUCAAUUGAUGACAGUCAUUGCUGGGAGCAAAUUGAUGGUUGGACAAAUUGAGAUAUACACAUCAGAAUUAAGAUAUCUGGAGUACUGAAUUUUGCUGCUGUUCUUGUGUACCUUUAAUUUGUUUCAUUCUCUUGCUAUCAUUGAUACUGAGGGAACUGCUUAUUACUUUGAAUAAGAAUAACGUCUAUUGAUUCAAUGAGUGUGUGUGUGUUGGAUAACAGAAUUUUAAGCUGCUGAAAUUUAAAAUGCAGAGUGUCAAAUGAUAGUCUUUGCUAAACUGGUAUUCUGGAGUUACUUUAGUUCUUGAAGUCUGAGACAUUAGUCGUGGAUUCUACUGGAAGAACUUAAUCGCAUCCUUAUAUUGCUAGACCUCAAGUGAAUAUAUUUCCAUUGUAGUGUGUCAUUUUCUGAUAUUGAAGCAGUGAGCGUAGAAAUUCCAAAAGCUGAAUCUGCAGGAUGCAAAUCUACAGGAACUCUUAAAGAUCUCUGCACAUCGUCCUUAGUUAUUGUGGAGCAGUUAUGAACCUAAAAUUAUAGAUAAAUUUUGCUACAGAUGUAAACUUGGUUUCUAAUUCUGGCUAUCUUGUUAACCUAUCAGCUCAAUGUUAUUUGUAAUGUCUGCUUCCGGGAAGCUAGCAUGUUUUAGGCAACGAAAUUAGGGGAUGCUAGAAUCUGAAAUGCAGAAUUGACUAGCUGCACUUCAGUUCUGAAAUCAAGGGGAAACUGAAGUAAUUGAGAAGGACAGAAUCUGUUUUGUGUCAAUUAUUAGUGUUGUUUCUGAAUCAGCAUUUGAUUUUGGAAAUUGGAUUGGAGAUUUAGGAUAGAACUACUCUUACAGUCUCAAAUCUGUUGGAAGCAGUAGGAGAGUUGUUGCAUAUAUGUGAAGAUUACAAGGAGAAAUACUAAAUUGUUGGAUUGGCAGUGUGCUAUUACAAGGAAGUUUGGUAUACGUUUGAGGAUGCUCUGAAUUUGGAAUUAAGAGUUCUCAACACACAUGCACUGUGCCAAUUCGGGAAGUGAAUUGUAACAAGCUAGAACUGCUGAAAACUGGAAAACAUUUUGUUGAAAUCAUUUUCUGAAUCUGGGAACUGAGUCAAUAGUUCUGGAAUAUAAUUUUGAAUCCUACUGAAAUUGAACUUCAUUUCUGAUUGCAAUUCUCAAGCAAAGUGGUAAUAUCUCCUUUUCAAUGCCUUCUUGUUUCAAGAACUGAAACGAAACUUCUUUGUAUCUGAAUUCCUGAAUUUCCAGAAUCGUUUCAAACUAACUUCUUUUGAUUUAUAUGGAAUUGAGUUUCUGCAACUGUUCAGUUUCAUUGCGUUCAGUUGCUGGACAGUGAUGGAUUCUAAGUUGUUCAGUGAUAUUUCAUUCAAAGAUUAUAAUUUUAGUUUGGAAGUCGAACAAAUGAAAAGAAAAAAAACACAUUCGCUGCAGGAAGAGAAAGGAACAGAAUGUAGAAUUUUUGCAGUUUAAUGUAUCAUUUCUGUGCCAACUUCAGAAAUGAGUUACAACAAGCUAGAGUUGUUUGAUAAGGAUCUUAAGAAGCUGGAUGGAAAGGAAUGAGAAUUUUUGGAGGCUAAAUGAUGAUUAGUUGUUAGAGUCCAGAACCUGUACAGAAAUU